CCCCUUUUCAACCGCUUGCCCGCCCCCUAUAUAUGAUCUGUUCCUUCGGGAACUAUGGACAUAAACGCGCUCGUAAUAAGCGGAUCGGACCCGGGGGCGGUACCCGGCGACUCCACCAAAACCUGCUCAUUUGGCAGUCAUGGGGUCGAAACAGGAUCGACGAACGUCUAAAGGGGUUAGCUUUGUCUCGGUGAGUUACCACCGUUAUCGGUACAAUUUAAGCUAGUUGCAAAUGACAACAAAGCUCCGAUGGCUCUGGCUGCGUAAGCGGUUCGAUCUAUCGAAAUCUUAAGUCCUUACGCUUAGCAGCCUAAGGCGGGGUUUGCAGGUACCUGGCAACAGAAACCUGCGCU
Molecule: transfer-messenger RNA, 353 nt
Filed under: Profundibacter amoris
Lineage: Bacteria; Pseudomonadati; Pseudomonadota; Alphaproteobacteria; Rhodobacterales; Paracoccaceae
Description: Alphaproteobacteria transfer-messenger RNA
Rfam family: Alphaproteobacteria transfer-messenger RNA
About the family: Bacterial tmRNA, also known as 10Sa RNA or SsrA, is named for its dual tRNA and mRNA-like properties. Its role is to liberate the mRNA from a stalled ribosome.
Source: Rfam by way of RNAcentral